Molecule: non-coding RNA, 82 nt
Filed under: uncultured Dysosmobacter sp.
Lineage: Bacteria; Bacillati; Bacillota; Clostridia; Eubacteriales; Oscillospiraceae
Description: Cyclic di-GMP-I riboswitch
Rfam family: c-di-GMP-I riboswitch aptamer
About the family: GEMM was predicted in a large-scale screen for bacterial structured RNA regulatory elements. Genes associated with GEMM are involved in a diverse array of functions, including chemotaxis regulation, signal transduction, secretion and chitin.
Source: RNAcentral
GCAAGGGCAAACCGCCGGAAACGGCGGGACGCAAAGCAAGGGGGCUAACGCGGGACACUCCGCCAUGCCAGCCCGGCCGCCA